This 73-nucleotide transfer RNA is filed under the name Asarcornis scutulata. Its description in RNAcentral is "tRNA-Asn". The record is from RNAcentral. Lineage: Eukaryota; Metazoa; Chordata; Aves; Anseriformes; Anatidae.
UAGGCAGAAGCCAGCAGGCUGAGGCAUUUAGCUGUUAACUAAAAUUUUACGGGAUCGAAGCCCGUCUGUCUAG